Molecule: long non-coding RNA, 1027 nt
Organism: Chroicocephalus ridibundus (black-headed gull)
Lineage: Eukaryota; Metazoa; Chordata; Aves; Charadriiformes; Laridae
Exons: 5
Source: RefSeq, a predicted model, not a curated record
GUCACAGGGCGGGCGGGGCCACGGGCACCGCUGUCAGACCGGCGGGGCGGCGGCUCCUCGCCCGCGCUCCCCCCUCCCGCGCCGGGCACCGGCAGCGGCGACGGGAGGACGGACAGCCUGGCAGCCCGACCCUGAGGGGAGGACCCGAGGCCCUCCUUGCUCCCGGGAGGCAGCUGCAGAGGGAGGAGAAGCGAUGGCGGAGGCAGGAAAGGGACGAGCCCGUCGCUGGAGUCCUGCUGCCCAUCUCUGCCGGGACGCGGUGGGGAGCAGCAGCAGGAACGCGUCCCUGUGGCGCCCGGUCCCCUGCGGGACAUCGCGCUCUGGGAUGGGCCAAGGUGCAUAAACCCCUCCUGGCUGUUCGGCGGGAGCUCCUGUGCCGGAGCAGGGCCGCGGUCGCCGUGGGUCGGGCACCGCUGUUCUGCCACUUGGGCGCCAGCAGACAUCGGUUAUGGGGGUAACGGCAUAGGAAGUGAGCAAUACUGUAUACAAUUGAAACUGAAAGAAAAUCUAGACAAAGCCCAGCCCGUUAAUCAAAUUCCAGAUAGUGUUUCUUCUGGACAAUGUCUAUAAUCGAUUGAGUACCUGGAGUCCAAAAGGUCCGAAACAGACCCAGAGGGCUGAAGACCGCCUGCGUUUGCUUUGAGGAGAUCUCGAGGACACGGCGACAGGGCUGGCUGCACAGCCUCACGUAUUCCAAGAUGCACAUCUGCACUUUUCCUGAUCAAGUACAGCAAUAAAACAACUUUCCUUUCUGUUAUUUAAACAAUGCUGUACAGCCACACUAAAAUGGGAACGUCCCACCAGCCCUGCCAGCACGGUCUGUUCAGGAAUGGCUGCGCGGUUCCGCAGUCAGCGCAGCGGGAGACUGGGAAGGUCAUUUUGCACGAGAUGAAAACAGAGGCAGGCCUUUCAGCAGAAGAUGUACUGACCAACGGUUACACGUUUAGCGCACGGCUGCCAUAUGACUAUUCUGGAUUGAAAAGGGCGUCCACGUCAGGAUCUGUACGACUGCGACGCAAAGCGGAAC